AUACAUUGAUCUAUAUUUUAAAAGUUUUCAUUAGCUAACUUUUACUAUACAUUUACAUGUUGCGCUUUCUGAUCUCUGUGAACUACACUUUCAGAUGUCAAGAUAUACUAACUGUUCAAAUGAGAGGCAACACUAGUCCAUUUAAUGGAUUAAAUACAGUUAUUUCCUCUGGGACUUAAUAAAUGUUUUCAUAUGGUUACUAGGAAGAAUUUAAAAAUGAGAAUACAGGUCUGCUGUGCCAAUGCUUGUAGGAAGUCAUAGUAUUACUUAAGCCUGUUGUGUUGUCAUAGUGUAAAACGCAAUUUGUAAGUCAAAAUCUAACGUUAGACAAUGUACCUCCUUGUUUCCCAGCAGCAGUAAGUGUAAAAACAGUUGUAAACACACCAAAGAGUAAAAAAGACACAACCAAGCUAGAUUUGCCCAAUCAUAGACAGCCAAUAAAAUACAAAGAAAUAGAAAAAUUGAUGACAAUGGUUUAAGUACAGUAAGGCUUCAAAAUGUUAUGAGAACUAGAGCAAAGGAAUCUGAGUAAAUUAAAAUGCAUGUAGGUAGAAUGUUUCUUUAACACUAUACAGUAAAUUAAAAAUGAGGACACAAUAUCUCAUCGGAGAAAUCUGGGGGUUUGUUUUUGCACAUGAAUAAGAACUUAAGAUCAUGAAACAGUGUUCACGGAGGGAGCCAAAAGCAUACAGAUAAAGUAACUGUCAAGCCUGGUGAAUCUUUGGGAGUUUCACUAUGAAUAAUAAAAUGGAACUUCAAGAAAAUCACAGUUGUUCUCCAUUGUUACCGUAAACUUAAACAAUGUAGGUGGCAAUUAUGUUUCUAAAGCAUUCCUUUAAUCUUAUACAAUCAGUCCCCAAAAGCCCCAGGCUGCUAGAAAUCCCCUCCCCCUUCUAUUGGCAGACUGCUCAUCUUACUGUAUGCCUACUUCAUGUUGCCAUAUGAAGUUUUUUAAUGCAUUUUUCCUUCACAUUUCUAUUAUCAGAUUUCCUGCUUGCCCCCAGUUGCAAUUAUCUCUGCCAUCCUUGAUCCUUCUGUAGUGGUGACUAAUGCAGAAAGUAAAAGUGUCUCUUUAGACUUCUUUCACUGGAUGCCCUCCAAGUGUUUAUGCCUUUAACUCAUAUCAGCCAUAGCAAACAUAGUUAAUGGUCAGAAAAGGUGUGAAUUGUAACCCAAAACUUCUGGGAGGCACCAAGCUGGUGAAGGCUGUUGUACUACCUAAACAUCCUCCAACCUGUUGACUUAUUUGGGACUUUGACAAACUGCUGUGGGCACCACUACAAAAUGGUUCCCAAGGUAUAUGUGUCUAGUCAAAAGAGGUGUGGAGAGGAUGAAAUAGUGAGACUAGAGGCUGGGAAGAUGGAAGAAAUAGCAAAGCAGAGGGGUGAUACAGGAUGGGCUGGAGUGAACCUGGAAACGGGGGCAAGAUAGUAUGGUAAAUAGUAUGGUUUAACUCCUAUGGACAGGAAUCAAGAAAAGCAAAACAAUAAAGGGAUCAAUAGAAAGAGCAAGACUAGGGGAGAGGGAGGAUGUGGUCAUGUGCUGAGGUACUGAGGCUGCUCCCUAAGAAGUCCUCCCUGGAUGCAGAACAUCCUAACUUCAGGCUGAUGGCAAAUGUUCCCUUCUUGGGUAAGGUUAUUGAGCCAGUAGUGACCAAGCAGCUCCAGGCUGAUUGAAAUGAAUCCAGAUAAUCAGUCUUAUCCAAUCAGGGUUCAGGCCUGGUUUUGGCACAGAAACAGCUUUGGUUGUUUUUUUGUGUUUACCUGUGUCAUGAGAAAGUCAAAGGGAGUGAGCCCAUUGAUACUCCUGGACUCUCAACAGCUUUUGAUACCAUUCACCAUGGUAUCCUUCUGGAGCAAUUGUCUUGGUUGAGAAUGGGAGGUACUGCACUGCCCUGGUUCUGCUCCUAUUUCGAUGGCUGGCUGCAGAGGGUGGUACUUGGGGAAUAUUGCUUGGCCCCAUGGAUACUUCACUCUGAGGCUCCUCAGGGGUUGGUCUCUAUGCUAUUUAACAUCUACAGGGAAUCACUGGGUGGAUUUAUCUGGAGUUUAAGUUAUGCAGCUUUCUCGUUCUCCUUUACAUCCUCAUCAGGUGAAGCUGUGGAUGUGCUAAACAGUUUCUUGCUGCAAUAGUAGACUGGAUGAGGGCUAAUAACAUGAAGCUCAAUCUCAGCAAGAAUAAAAUGCUUUCGACCCUAUGAUCUUCACCUGGAACCUUCCUCUGACUGCCACCUCCAAGGGAGGACCAGAAAGAAGCAAUGAAGCAACAAGGAAGGGGGCCUUUUCAGUGGUGGAAUGGUCUCCCUACCGAAGACCACCUGACACGGUCAUCUUUUCAGCCUGUUCCCAGGCUUUUAAUGGCAUAUGAUGGGUUGUGUCUCCUACUUUAAUUAGGUCUGUUUUAAACUGCAAUUGUUUUAGAGGUUAAGCUAUUUUAUAUUUUUGACUAUUGGACUCGAGCUUUUUUGAAUUUGCACAUUGGAAUUUCAUGCUGUAUUUUAAUGUUCUAUUUUUAUUGUAUCUUUUGUAUUUGAAUGUUGAUAACCACCCAAGACAGCUUCUGCUAUUGGGUGCUAUAGAAAUGAAAUUUUAAAAAGCCAUUGUGGGUAGUUGAUGAAAUUAACAGUUUAUAAAAUUAUAUAAACACCUGUCUCCCAUCUUCAAAAAAUAAUUUUCUACAUUAAAGAGAAUUCCAAAAUACAA
Molecule: long non-coding RNA, 2702 nt
Organism: Varanus komodoensis (Komodo dragon)
Lineage: Eukaryota; Metazoa; Chordata; Lepidosauria; Squamata; Varanidae
Exons: 2
Source: RefSeq, a predicted model, not a curated record